GAUGAACGCUGGCGGCAUGCCUAACACAUGCAAGUCGAUCGGUAAGGCUCUUCGGAGUACACGAGAGGCGGACGGCUGAGUAACGCGUAGGAACACACCCUGCAGUGAGGGAUAAGACACCGAAAGGUGUUCUAAUACCGCAUACGGUCUUCGGAUUAAAGCAUUUAUGCGCUGAAGGAGUGGCCUGCGUCAUAUUAGAUAGUUGGUGAGGUAAUGGCUCACCAAGUCGAUGAUGUGUAGCUGGUCUGAGAGGAUGAUCAGCCAGACUGGAACUGAGACACGGUCCAGACUCCUACGGGAGGCAGCAGUGAGGAAUAUUUCACAAAGAGCGAAAGCUUGAUGGAGCAAUGCCGCGUGCAGGAUGAAGGCCCUCGGGUUGUAAACUGCUUUUAUAAGAGAAGAUUAUGACGGUAACUUAUGAAUAAGGGACGGCUAACUACGUG
This 443-nucleotide ribosomal RNA is filed under the name uncultured bacterium. Its description in RNAcentral is "partial 16S ribosomal RNA". It matches the Rfam family "Bacterial small subunit ribosomal RNA", at positions 28 to 507 of the family's 1533-position model. The record is from RNAcentral.